CAAUCCAUACCAAGAUUUUCUAUGUGUACAAAUAAUCUAGAAAAUCUUGUGUGGAUUGAU
This 60-nucleotide microRNA precursor is filed under the name Ornithorhynchus anatinus (platypus). RNAcentral describes it as "Oan-Mir-1422-P7_pre stem-loop". The record is from RNAcentral. Lineage: Eukaryota; Metazoa; Chordata; Mammalia; Monotremata; Ornithorhynchidae.